Molecule: ribosomal RNA, 201 nt
Filed under: Peribacillus simplex
Lineage: Bacteria; Bacillati; Bacillota; Bacilli; Caryophanales; Bacillaceae
Description: Bacillus simplex partial 16S ribosomal RNA
Rfam family: Bacterial small subunit ribosomal RNA
Source: RNAcentral
GGCGGACGGGUGAGUAACACGUGGGCAACCUGCCUAUAAGACUGGGAUAACUUCGGGAAACCGGAGCUAAUACCGGAUACGUUCUUCCUUCGCAUGAAGGGAGAUGGAAAGACGGUUUACGCUGUCACUUAUAGAUGGGCCCGCGGCGCAUUAGCUAGUUGGUGAGGUAAUGGCUCACCAAGGCGACGAUGCGUAGCCGAC